This 95-nucleotide ribosomal RNA is filed under the name uncultured bacterium. RNAcentral's name for it is "partial 16S ribosomal RNA". It matches the Rfam family "Bacterial small subunit ribosomal RNA", at positions 1388 to 1482 of the family's 1533-position model. The record is from RNAcentral.
CACCGCCCGUCACACCAUGAAAGUCGGCUGUACCAGAAGUCGCUGCGCUAACCGCAAGGGGGCAGGCGCCCAAGGUAUGGUCGAUGAUUGGGGUG